RNAcentral lists this ribosomal RNA (395 nucleotides) under uncultured bacterium. RNAcentral describes it as "bacterial SSU rRNA". It matches the Rfam family "Bacterial small subunit ribosomal RNA", at positions 521 to 916 of the family's 1533-position model. The record is from RNAcentral.
UAAUACGUAGGGUGCAAGCGUUAAUCGGAAUUACUGGGCGUAAAGCGUGCGCAGGCGGUGAUGUAAGACAGUUGUGAAAUCCCCGGGCUCAACCUGGGAACUGCAUCUGUGACUGCAUUGCUGGAGUGCGGCAGAGGGGGAUGGAAUUCCGCGUGUAGCAGUGAAAUGCGUAGAUAUGCGGAGGAACACCGAUGGCGAAGGCAAUCCCCUGGGCCUGCACUGACGCUCAUGCACGAAAGCGUGGGGAGCAAACAGGAUUAGAUACCCUGGUAGUCCACGCCCUAAACGAUGUCAACUGGUUGUUGGGAAUUCACUUUCUCAGUAACGAAGCUAACGCGUGAAGUUGACCGCCUGGGGAGUACGGCCGCAAGGUUGAAACUUAAAGGAAUUGACGG